This is an RNA transcript of Cylas formicarius (sweet potato weevil), 9876 nucleotides long. It is a transcript of the gene named ubiquitin carboxyl-terminal hydrolase 1, with no coding region annotated. The transcript is spliced from 9 exons. Lineage: Eukaryota; Metazoa; Arthropoda; Insecta; Coleoptera; Brentidae. The record is from RefSeq and is a predicted model, not a curated record.
AUUCGUGGUAUGUGGAUACGCGCCUUUAAAUUUACCGAAUUUCCGUAUAUUAGUGAAAAUUUUCUAGUGCAGUUAGUAAAGAGGUGGGAUAGACAUUCCUAAGUACUUGUUUUGGAUUGCAGAGCUAAUGCGGUGUAUGGUAAACUUAUUUGAUCCAAAAAUCCAAUUUGAUUACGCCAAUAUACCCACACAUGUUUGCUGUAGUUAGUAAAGAUGAAUGGUCAGCCAGUAGCUACGCAAAGUUUAUAUUCAUAUACUUUUAAAUCGCCCCGAACCCUGGUGGAGCAGCAGUUCGAUUAUGUAUUUAAGAACAUUCCAUAUGAUCAAGUGGAAACUACAGGACAAAAAAUUGAAAACACUAAACGUUUAGAAAAUCUCAAAAUUGAUAGUUUGUUGCCGUUCACCAAUAUCUUAACUACAACACCCCUCAAAGAACAGAAACCCAGUGCGGACUCAGUGUUUAAAACAUACUCAAGAAAAAGAUUAUUCGAAGUUGAUAGCACCCGUGAACACAAUAGUGAAAAUUUUGAAAAUAGGCUGAAGAGGAAAGCCUUGGGGACUUUGAGAAGGCCCAAUAAAAGUAAGCUGAAAAAAGUCAGACUCAACAGUCGAGUGGUACUUGCUGAGAUUCCCUUUGGGGGUGCGAGCAAUUUAAAUUUUGAUCCCAACAAAAAUUUUCCGGGAUCAAGUAUGAUGACGGAUUACUUAGAUGAAGACGCCCAGAGAGUUAUCAAUGGAGACAACUUGUUGGAUUGUCCAAUUGCAACUUUAUUGAAUAUGGGCAAUACAUGUUUUUUGAACAGUGUGCUGUAUACCUUAAGAUUUGUUCCCACAUUUUCGCAUAAUUUGCACCAUUUGUUUAUGGACUUGAAUUUGGUUGGUACAAAAUUGAAGGAAAAUAAAACAAAAACCUCUUCUUUGGGUAGGAAUGGUAGUACCAUUAAUGGUGCUAGUUGGAGGAGUGCAAGUAGCAAAGAUUUGCUUUCCAUUGGGAAUGACACAAUUCCGAAAUCGGCAAACCAAAUUGUAACGGAAAAGUUGCAUGCCCUAUUUGCAACCUUGAAUAAUUUGGACGCGAAAGAUUCAUCCGACCCAUACCAGCCCGAAGCCUUAUUGCAAGCCAUAAGAGAGGCUAAUCCUCUAUUCGAAGGUAACCAUCAGCAGGAUGCUCACGAGUUUUUCGUCGAGUUGCUUAGCUCAUUGAGGUUAACUUGUGAUGAGUUGAAUGAGAAGAUCGAACAAAAUCCAGAUUUGAUCCGGGGGCCCGAAGCGGAGUCGGUAAAUGUGAACAAUAGUAGUAAACCGUGGAAAGUGUCACGGUCAUGGCAAAAGUCAUUGCGAAAGAAAGAGAAGAACAAUGUGAAAAAAAUCAUUAAAGAGCAAAUUCAUGAACAAGCCAUGGCAGACUCUGAAGAUAAUUCGUCGGUCGACGGUAACGGGGAGGCAAACCGCAAAAAGAUGGGUUACAAUUUCAUUGUGGAAGAUUUUGAGGGCGUUUCCUUGCACAGGACUAAAUGUUUAGAGUGCGAGGAAGUGAGCGAGCGAAAAGAACCGUUUUUGGAAAUACAGGUGCCAGUUAGUUUUCGCGGGGAGGAUCUGCCGAUCGAGAGCAUUUUCGGAUCUAUUUGUGUGACCUCGGAAAAGUUGUGCGACCAAAAUAAGUACUAUUGCGGCAAGUGCAACAGAUACAACGAAGCUGUCAGGGAGGUGCUUUACGAAAAACUGCCCAAUAUAAUGGUGCUUCAUUUGAAACGAUUCACCACAACGCAGUCCGGUAUUCAAAAAGUGAACGUUUUCGUCCCGACACCCCUGGAGCUGAGGUGUUUCUGUCAGGGUUGCAGCAGCCUGGACCUAUCCAAAAUGACGCCGCACCGUUAUAAGCUUUGUUGCGUCAUCAUGCAUUUAGGCGCUAGCAUGGCUUCGGGUCACUAUAUCGCCUACACUAGGGCGUCGUUUCAGACGCUCGAUUACCUGGACUGCUGCCGCGACAAUCCGAAAAAUUUUCUAACUUCCAGCAGCAGGGACUUAUCGUUGAGCUUCCUCAAGUUGUUCAGGCCGAAAGUAUUGGGGAAAACUCUCCCGGAAAACCAGAAUGGUUUGGGUGCCAAGAAAAGCGAUGUUCAGGUCUGUCCCAGUAUAAACUGUUGCGGCGUCCGUUGUAAACUGAGCCUAGGCUCGCCGAGCCACGACGACGACUGGCUCGAAUUCGACGACGAAAAGGUCAAAGUACUGUCGAGCGGGCAGUUCACGGAAAUCCUAAACAGGAGAUCGGACAGCACAAACACCCCUUACCUGUUGUUCUACUCGAAGGUGUAGUCAUCGCGGUCAGUCCAGACCGCAAAAUUGACGUUCGUUCGCGUAAGUCGCGCCCUCAUUUCGUCGUUGUCAUUAAUGUUAUAUAUAUGUCGGCGCGUGCACAUUGCGAAGCAAACCGUUCGACGAAUAAACAUUCCGAUUUCGCAUUACGUAUCUACGAUUUUUCAUUUCCGUUUCUCUUAAUGACGAGUCGACCAAUCGACUCAACGCAUCGACUGUCAGUUGAGGUGCUUCCAAACACUCGGCAUUAGUAAUUAGGGGGAAGGGUUCUCAAAGCGAACAAACUUGCCUCACUUGAAAUUCGUGGAGACUGGAGAUGUGGAUAUUGACAAAAAUCGGGUCUUUUAAUAUAUACCCUGUUCUCGGAACUAUCCAGUGGUAGUUUCUAUAGAUUGUGGGAGAUAUACUUCCCCUGCAUAUGCAGAAUGUCAGAGGCUGAGUGAAUCGAACUUGACCUAUCAUUAGAUCACCCCGACAAACCAAAUCCGAUUUAACUAAAAAUUGACAAACCAUUAACUGUUAACAAAUGACACAUUUAGUGAAAACAAGUAUAGUUUAUAGGUAUACUUGAAGCUUAAAGGCAAUGCAAGUGUAAUUAGUACCUCAACGUCUGCUACAUAUUUUGUAGGUUAAAUUAUCAUUACUUAACCAUUUUUGUGAAAGUUAUUGUAGUUCCAGCCUCAUAUCUAAACAAGAGUAAGAAAAUAGUAAACAGCUUUCCUUUUAUCAGUUUGAUCGGAAGUAAAUAUUGUGUCAUAUAAAGCAAGACAGUCAAUUAGAUCGAAGUAAGCAAAAUAGCAUAUUAUCUUAAAAUUGCCAAGACAGCUUAAAACCAAUAGUUUAUGAAGCAAAUUUUGCGUGUUUGUGUUUGUGGAGAUCUGCAGAUUUGGCCGAUUUUGAUUCACUAAGGUGCAACCUCUUGUAGAAUACCUUUAAUAAGUGCCUUUAUAUUUGUUAGCUAAUGUAAUAAUGCAUAGGGUGUCACAGCUUGUACAAGACAAUUUUCUAAGAUUAAAAUCUUAGACAUAUAAACAUGUAUUCUUAGGAGCUUCGUUUCCUAUACAAAAAGCGCCAAAGUUUUGAAAGCCAUUUAACACUCGUAUUGGCCUCAAAUAUUAAUUUUUCCGGUGUACUUACUGGUGUACCAAGUUUCAACCGAUUAUGUUCAGAUAUUCUGUAUUCUGUAGGAGAUGAGAAAACUUCUCCUCUCCUCUCAUAAAAAUAUUUUUAUAUAAGGUAUUAAUCCUAAAAAAUUAUCUUCUUACAAUAAAUUGUCACGCCCUGUAUAUAUGUUUCAUUACUUUUUCUGCAUAAUCGUUACGUUUACAACUUUAUAGAAUCCACGAAUGUUGAAUAUGAGGUUUUUCAGCUGCAGCUCGCUUGAUAUUGUGGUAAACUAUAUAUUCAAAUUCCAAUUUUAUAUUGCCUACCAUUACUAGUAGAAACUAGAUAUAUUUAACAGAACAGACUGAAAAAAUAUUACAGAGAAAUAGAUCCGAGAAUGGGGCUUUAUUCAAAACGCGGAUGAGAUUGUCCAUUCAGCUACCACAGCUUCAAUUUUAUUAUUUUCCUUUUGUUUCAAGUCUUUAACCGCAUUUAAUUUCAAACUUAAAACAAAACUGGGUGUUAGUUGUGACUACUAUCAGCAUUAGAGUUUGUAGAAUUCUAAACAGAAGAUUUUAAUUUUAUUUUCGCGUCUGUUCUGUUUUUUUUUUCAAAAUUAAUGAAUCACUUUUCACAAUUAUUGCCAAUCGGUAAGUUUUCACGUCUGCUGUAACUGUAGAAAAUAUAUUUCUUUCAUUAUCUCGCAGCAAAUGUCAUUCCUCCCCCUAAAAUACUGCUUUCCAUAAAAGAAGGUAAUAAGUCGUCUGUUUAUGAUUUGUUAUCAGUAACGAUUGUAUUAGUAAUCUUCAUCGAACUUUCUAUCGAUUAAGAAGGCACGCUGAAUUUACAGAUCAGUGGUGCUAUUAAACAUUGCUCUAAUAUUGUUUUUUUAAUUGAAACAGGGGAACAUUUAUCUCAUGUAGUUAAUAUGCGGCAUUUGAACAAAAAAGUGAUGUUUCGGUUGGUGUACUUCAGUAUCGUUAUGUACAUAUAUAUUAAUAUCGGCAUGUAAUAUUAUCUGGGAACCUCGUACCGAUCAAUUAGGUUAAAUGUACAUUUAUUUUUCGCAUGUUUACAUUCUUAGGGUAAGUAGUUAGAUAUAUUGUUUCUCCACAACUUUAGAUAUUAAUAAAUUACAUUUCACGUUUUUUAUUACAAAAAAAAGGUUGUACAAAUUAUACAAUUUUUUUAAUGUUAUUUAUAGAUUAUUCUCGAAUUUAUGUAAAAUUGUUAAAUUUAAAAGUUUUACGGGACGGUAAUGUGUGAAAACCUUAUUAAAAUUCGGUGUCGGUUUACAGUCAUAAACUUUGUGUCUAACUGCCGAGCGAUGAAGAAUCGACGCUAAAGCCUGCAUAUUUGAAUUAAUUUUCCUAAUAUUUUGAUUACUUGUUUGUUUAAUAAUCAAAUAGCCAAACCAAAAAUCUGUCUAGCAUAGUGUACUAAAUUUAAUAGUUAAUAUAAGACAGUUAAACGCGUUUUAAGCGUAGCUUAGCUAGCGGUGUCGAUUGUGAACAGUCUCUGCUAAAUUUGUGAUUUAAAGCAAAGUUAAAGCAAACAUCGAUCGGUUGUAUAAAAAUAUAAUCACGCUUCCAGAAAGUCGAAGUUUGCUUUAACUUAAAAAAAAAUAUAAUUCAGACCAGUAUUAAAAAUUUAGGUUAGGUAUAAAUAAUUCGUGAUAUUAGAGUUAACAUUAGUUAUUGGUUUAUUAAUUUCAUAUCGGGCGGUGGUUUUAUUGGUCCUUCGUUAUCCUGGAGAGUAGUUCUUUUCAUGCGAGUGGCCUAUCAUUGAUAUUAGAAUAAUGUAUGCCUGAGACAUUCAUAUUAGAUUGAUAUUUCAGUUCCCUAAAUUCGCAUCUUGGUUCAGUGUUUGUGACUUAAGAAUAUGUCUCUGUUGGUUACACUUAGUUUAUUAUUGUCGGUUGAUUGUACCAUUAACACAGACCACAAAACGUUGUAAAAUUAUUUAAAUAUGUGCCCCGAAAAGAAAGGAAGCUGUAUGUAGUCGCCAACGCCAUCGUAAGCCAAAGGCCUAGCUAAUUGUCUGUAAAUAAAAACACGGUUCUUCUAGAAAAUUCUUGAAAAUUAAGUUUUUUGAAGCAAAUUUUUAUAGCUAUAAAAUUUGAAUUGAAUUUUUUAAGUUAUAUAUUAACGACGUUCCAUUAACGGUUUUUCAAGUUAAUCAUUUGUCCAUUAUAAUCACAUUAUAUACAGUGUGUCUAUUGACGUUCGUUAAAAUUCGUCAAUUUUGUUGUGCCCAGCGGUCUCUAUUAACAAUAUCCAUAUAUUGUUUUAUUUACAACUGACUCCAAAACAGUGUUAAACACUGGUAGCGGAGUAUAUACUUACAAUUAAUUUAAUUAAAAAAAUCUAUUUUUGCGAGGAGAAAAUCAAGAUCACAAAGCUAACAUUAAUGAGAAAAGCAAAGAUACUAAAAUGAAAAUACAGGAAAAUUAAAGAUAUCAAACAACAGGAACCUUUUGAAAAGGAAGAAAAAAAAAAGAGUCGAUUAUUAUAAUCGGUCAAGUCAUGUUCAUGAACACUUAACUAAAAGCGCUUUUAUUCACUAUGUGAAAUAGAUAAAAAAGUUAAACAAUAACAUUUUAUAAUAAAAUAGUUAGUGGAAAUAAUUUUUUCUACUCCUGUAAAAUACCUAAUUAUAUUUCAGACUCGUUCUUGAAGAUUACACAUAACGGAGUACUAUGACCCCGGUGACGCCACGAAUUCAUAGCCUGAAAACAAAAAAUAUACCCCGUCCGGUUCCUCUUCACCGCCGACCUCUUUCGAUAUUCUAAUUCGUAACUGUAUACGUGUAAUUAGAGAGACUAAUUUUUUUCCCAAGUAUACUAGUAGUGUUGUAAUCCCAUAGUGAUAAAUAGAGUGAGAAAUGGGAGGUGGCGCUAAUAUUAAAAUCGGAACAAUUAGCCAGGCAAAUACACAAAAGUGCCGGUAAGGAAUUGUGUCGGGUAUCGAGCAUCAGGAAGAUGUUUACGAAUUAGAAGGCGCCGAGUAUUCGGAAAUCGGUUCGUAGUUAGCGAGUGUUGAGUUUCUUACAUUUGUUAUGAGUACUUUGUCCGCGUAGUCUUUGAGCUCUACAAUUUACAUGGCGAAAACUAUUCUUGGCUCCGACGUUAUAAAAGUUUCAAAAGGCAAGCAACAAUCCAGGCAAAAGUUAAAAGCAUUUAAAUGUAUUAAUUUAUGUAAAACAAAAUAUGAUAACAAAGAAGUCUAAUUAUUUUAUCUAUUUUUCACACAGUUCAAAUUUUAAAUCAAAAAUUUACUAAAUCUAUUUUUUUUAUCACCCGGUAACUCGGUUAGCACGCAUUUCCGGAUAUAUAUUUAUAUAAGAUUUUCUUUUCUUCAAAAAUAUAAGUUUUGCCCACUUUAAACUUGAAUUUUUGUGUAAACAGGUACAUAUUAACAAAACUUUUGUGGUUUUCGUCAUCUUCAAUAUAUAUUUUCUUUUGGAACUUUUGCUUCAAAUAAUUCCAAAAUUUAUCUCCAAAAAUACUUUUAUUUUUAGUCAGACUUUAGUUUAGCUCUCAUAAAGAAGAGUGUAGAGGUAAAUGCCCUUAAAAUUAUGUACAAAAUAUACAGGGUGUUUCAAAACAAAUGCGAAGAACUUAAGGGGGUGAUUCCUUGUUUAAAAUAAAUAAGCCCGUCUAUUGAUUUUUUUUCCAUGUGAUUGUCAAGUUUUUCCUUAAAUUUAGUUACGAAGAAUAAUGGAAAAUUAAAAAAAUAUGUACAAAGUGUGUUUUUAUAAUAGUAAUACUUUUCCGCCAUUUUUGUAGCACGAUAUCUCCCUUUUGAACAAACGUUUACAUGACUCCUUAUUUUAAAGAAACACCCACUUAAGUUUUUUGCAUUUGUGUGGAAACACCCUUUAUGUAACUAUUUUUAAAUGAUUAAAUUUCGUUCUUCAUGAGUUCCAUUACCCAGUCUGGACUAAGUUAAAAGUUCAGUUGGUUCGUUACGAAAUUUACAAAAACUAUACUUAAUCAUAUUUUUUUCUUUGUUUCAAGUAAUAGCAUAGUUACAGUUAUUAGAAUUACCGGAAAACAGGAAGAAUUUUUUAAGAAAAUUGUAAUCAAAUUUGCAAAAGAUCAUAUUAUAUUCUGUUAAUAAAUAUUUCUUCAUUUUUUGAAUGUAAUAAAAUAACCUCAGAUAUUUUUUUAGUGAAGCUAUUUUGCUCCGUUGGCUUUUUAAAUAUCAAAGGAAAAACUGUCAUUGUUAUUCAUACGUCACAUUCAUUCCGAAUAACUUAUAUAUGGUGGAAAUGAUGAAUAAACCAGCGUAAAAAAAUUGUUUUUAAUGGUCAAAUUACAGUUUAAAAGUGGAUACUGUGUGUUGCUCAGUCAGUAUGGCGACGUUUGAGUACCACUAUUGUAAAAAAUAAGACUGAAGAAAUAUUAACAGGAGUUUUUAUCUGCUGCCAAUUAACAAAUAGCGUCAGUGUUUGUUGCUUUUCGAAGCGUUGAAAUUCUUUCUUAAAAAUUUAUUAAAUUAAAAUUAUACUUUCUGAGUCUAAUUUUUCAAAGAAACUUCCACAGGCUACUAUAAUACUAUUUACAAAUCUUCUGGGUUGCUGCUCCGUCGGUUGACUUUUCGCCAAUCAUCCUGUUGCCAAGGGGAUGAUUAUCGAAACGCGAUCAGGACGCAGGAAAUUUGCGAUAUUCUUUCGUAAAGUCUGCGAACAAUCCAAUUUGAAAUACUCCUAAGCUUUUUUAUAUAAAUAUACGCAUAAUCUCAAUAUACUGUUUUAUAUGAAACUGUAAAUUUAAGUAUAAUAAAAUAAAAGCGUCUACCUCUCCUCCAUUUUCUUCCACGUUGUUUGUUUUUGACAUUUCUUAAAAAUAAAAUCGAAAAAUCGCACUGGGGAAGUGUAUAGUGUUUAUAGAAAUAAAAAAUAUCCGGUUUUUAUUUAUAAAAUAUUGCCACAUUCUUACUUACUUUUAUUUACAUCAAACAUUAAAAUGUAUGGAAAAAGUCAAAGAGAUAAGAAGAAUAAUAAUAACAAUACUACACACAAAACGCAUAGCUAAUAAUGUAUAAAAAUAGAUAACAUUUUAUUUACACAAACGAUACUUUAGAGAAAUUAAAAAAAAAUUAAAACUGAUUUAGUUUUGGUUAGUUUUAAAAUUCCUAAGUUCAUCUUUGUUCUAUAUUUUCGUAGGCAGUACAUUAAGCAUUUAUAUUCCUAUUGAGUCAGGAGAAUUCUAUUCACAGAUAAUUAAAGGGGGCUCUGACUACUUGCUUCACUAUUUAAUAUAAAUCGGUGUUCGAGAAUAAGAAUACCCGCCAAAGUCUCAGGCCCGGCGUGCUUCUGAGGGUCCUCUUCAUGCUUUUGAUGACACACACUGCCUUAGAGACCCUCCGAAGAAAACCCGUCCUACCUCAGAGCAGAUGCUUUUUAAAAAUGAUACAGAUUAAUAAUUUGCUUUGUUGUUAAUAUUUGCCUUAAAUUUCGUAAAAAAAACUCUAUGAGUUGAUAGUGAUUUGUUUACAAUUUACAUUUUAGUCUACUAUAAUUCCAAGAAACUGCUUUGUGCUAUCGACCCUUAGCACCAUUUAGCAAUCAAGAGUACAAAACGGAUCUAAUUUGUUUUAGUUGUAUGUAAGUACAAAGAAUUCAACCACUUCAAGAUUUGUAUUAAUUUUUGCUUCCAAUUGUUUAUCAUCUUUUAAAAGGAAGAAACAUCGUUAAUUUUUUGCACAGUAGAAAGUGAUAGCUUUACAGAAAGGACAGCCACAUGCUCGCUAUGGGCUUUACGAUAUUCCGCGCAUAUCCCAAAAUUUCACACUUGGGGCUACACACUUCUCAUUUUUCAAACCUAAACUGAACCCUCUUCUCAACAUUUUUCUAUGGUCGUAUAAUCAGCAUAUAUCUAGUUUUCUAUUAACGUAACAUCAACUUAGAUCUUUUAACCUACAUCAUUAUCGGUUUCCAGUCAUUAAGUUAUUAAUUUAAUUAUAAAUAUUUGAAUAUUUGUCUCAAUUUGUGUGCUAACGUAAGUGCUCGUAAGCAAUUUUCUUGUCAAUCUUGAUUUUUUCUUCCUAGCUUUAGAGUUAUUGGAGGAAAUAUAAUAAUGUAUGUUCUCAAACGAGUCACUUUUCUUUCUAGUUUCUUGACAGCUUAACAGCUUACACGGAACACCUUAACUCGAAUUAACUUUAGUCUUAGGCAUAAUACGAACAAAGGAACGUCGAUAUAAAACGAAACUCUGUAAUAAACGACCGUCAUUUAUUGACACCACUGUUCUGUUGCGUUAUUAAAUUUGUCUCGCCGACCACCUGUGUAUAAAUCGAGGAAAAUACUUUUUACCGUUUUAAGUACAUGUAUAAUAAUAAAUAUAAAAAAUAUACAAUAUAAAUAAUGUAUAAAAUCGGGAAUGAUAUUUGUAAAUUGACUGUAAUAAAUUAUUGACAUUUUAAUUUAAAUAAAGUUUUGUUUAUAAACUGG